Melospiza melodia melodia is the source of this 125-nucleotide long non-coding RNA. RefSeq lists it as uncharacterized. The transcript is spliced from 3 exons. Lineage: Eukaryota; Metazoa; Chordata; Aves; Passeriformes; Passerellidae. The record is from RefSeq and is a predicted model, not a curated record.
GAUGCAGAGGAUAAAAUCCAGGGCAAAAUCCAUCCCCCCAUCCUGGGGGAGGAGGUUCCCCUGAGCAGGAAGUAAAGCUGGAUAUCAGCAGUCAAGGCAAUCCACUCAGAGCAUGCCAAGCCCCA